CUCACUAUGUUACCCAGGCUGGUCUUGAACUCCUAGGCUCAAGUGAUCUUCCCACUUUGGGCUCCCAAAGUGCUGGGAUGAUAGCCAUGAGCCACCAUGCCCGGGCAGGAAAAUUAUUUAUAGGAUGCUGGGAACACCCUCACUUAAACAUGGCCCCCAAGGUGGUGGUGGGGUGCUCUCCUGGCAUAUGAGCCUUCUCUCACAGUGGACACGCCUUGUUAACAGGCCAUGAUGAAGACUCCCCUAGAGGAACCACGCUGUUCAACCCCCUCUUCCUGAGAGCAUCUGGGAUCUGCAUACUAGAAAAAUCGGGUUCUGAUGAGCAAGUGAGGAUGCUGAGGUCGAUGAAGAUGUGGCCAUCCAGGCCUUCAGGAAAUUUUGAAAGGCCCCUACCCUACAUUGGCUCAUCUUCCCAGAAACAUCCUAGGGUCCCUCGAAAAGCAGUGUAUGCCAGGCAGAAGGGUGCUGAAGUUGAAAUCAAGUCCUCUGUUGGAGUCACCAUCCCACAGGUGACCAAUAGCAGAACCUUGAGAACGUCCAUUCUGCUCUUGAUCAGUGUUGGCAAUGUCGUACUUCGUAGGUGGUAAGAAUUAACAUCCACCUGGUGGAAGCGAAUCUAUUAAUAAAAGUAAGGAACAUGCUCCCAA
Rhinopithecus roxellana (golden snub-nosed monkey) is the source of this 647-nucleotide long non-coding RNA. RefSeq lists it as uncharacterized. The transcript has 2 exons. The record is from RefSeq and is a predicted model, not a curated record. Lineage: Eukaryota; Metazoa; Chordata; Mammalia; Primates; Cercopithecidae.